GGUUAAGCGACUAAGCGUACACGGUGGAUGCCCUGGCAGUCAGAGGCGAUGAAGGACGUGCUAAUCUGCGAUAAGCGCCGGUAAGGUGAUAUGAACCGUUAUAACCGGCGAUUUCCGAAUGGGGAAACCCAGUGUGACUCGUCACACUAUCAUUAACUGAAUCCAUAGGUUAAUGAGGCGAACCGGGGGAACUGAAACAUCUAAGUACCCCGAGGAAAAGAAAUCAACCGAGAUUCCCCCAGUAGCGGCGAGCGAACGGGGAGGAGCCCAGAGCCUGAAUCAGCAUGUGUGUUAGUGGAAGCGUCUGGAAAGGCGCGCGAUACAGGGUGACAGCCCCGUACACAAAAGCGCAUGUGCUGUGAGCUCGAUGAGUAGGGCGGGACACGUGGUAUCCUGUCUGAAUAUGGGGGGACCAUCCUCCAAGGCUAAAUACUCCUGACUGACCGAUAGUGAACCAGUACCGUGAGGGAAAGGCGAAAAGAACCCCGGCGAGGGGAGUGAAAAAGAACCUGAAACCGUGUACGUACAA
This 529-nucleotide ribosomal RNA is filed under the name Salmonella enterica subsp. enterica serovar Montevideo. RNAcentral's name for it is "partial 23S ribosomal RNA". It matches the Rfam family "Bacterial large subunit ribosomal RNA", at positions 1 to 569 of the family's 2925-position model. Lineage: Bacteria; Pseudomonadati; Pseudomonadota; Gammaproteobacteria; Enterobacterales; Enterobacteriaceae. RNAcentral also lists the same sequence under 9 other names. The record is from RNAcentral.